This 408-nucleotide ribosomal RNA is filed under the name uncultured bacterium. RNAcentral's name for it is "bacterial SSU rRNA". It matches the Rfam family "Bacterial small subunit ribosomal RNA", at positions 28 to 437 of the family's 1533-position model. The record is from RNAcentral.
GACGAACGCUGGCGGCGUGCUUAACACAUGCAAGUCGAACGAUGAAGUUCCUUCGGGGAUGGAUUAGUGGCGAACGGGUGAGGAACACGUGAAGAAUCUGCCCUCCACUUUGGGAUAACUCCGGGAAACCGGGGCUAAUACCGAAUAUUGAAACAUAAGUGGCAUCACUGAGUUUUGAAAGAAUUUCGGUGGAGGAUGACUUCGCGGCCUAUCAGCUUGUUGGUGAGGUAAUGGCUCACCAAGGCGACGACGGGUAGCCGGCCUGAGAGGGCGACCGGCCACACUGGGACUGAGACACGGCCCAGACUCCUACGGGAGGCAGCAGUGGGGAAUAUUGGGCAAUGGACGAAAGUCUGACCCAGCGACGCCGCGUGCGGGAUGAAGGCCUUCGGGUUGUAAACCGCUUUC